UAGAAUCCUUACACUUUUGGGGCAUGGUCUGGGUGAGAGCUGAAACAUUAGGCUGAAUAAAGGCAUAAACAUUUCUUCCCACAUUCACUCUCUCAUUCCCCUUCAAUCUCCUCUUGUGAGUGCAUAAGUCUUUUAGCAACUUGGCAUAUUUUGGAAUUUUCUUAAUCACAUUAAGAAAAGGAAUGUUUAGCGCCACCUUUCUGAAUAUGUCAAAUAUCUCUUUAUCCUUAUCUUCCUCAUCUAAAUUUUUA
This 251-nucleotide long non-coding RNA is filed under the name Lathyrus oleraceus (garden pea). RNAcentral describes it as "Pisum sativum (pea) long non-coding RNA (PSAT_LNC017307)". Lineage: Eukaryota; Viridiplantae; Streptophyta; Magnoliopsida; Fabales; Fabaceae. The record is from RNAcentral.